RNAcentral lists this ribosomal RNA (550 nucleotides) under uncultured bacterium. RNAcentral's name for it is "bacterial SSU rRNA". It matches the Rfam family "Bacterial small subunit ribosomal RNA", at positions 43 to 570 of the family's 1533-position model. The record is from RNAcentral.
CAUGCCUAAUACAUGCAAGUCGAGCGAAUGGAUUAAGAGCUUGCUCUUAUGAAGUUAGCGGCGGACGGGUGAGUAACACGUGGGUAACCUGCCCAUAAGACUGGGAUAACUCCGGGAAACCGGGGCUAAUACCGGAUAACAUUUUGAACCGCAUGGUUCGAAAUUGAAAGGCGGCUUCGGCUGUCACUUAUGGAUGGACCCGCGUCGCAUUAGCUAGUUGGUGAGGUAACGGCUCACCAAGGCAACGAUGCGUAGCCGACCUGAGAGGGUGAUCUGGCCACACUGGGACUGAGACACGGCCCAGACUCCUACGGGAGGCAGCAGUAGGGAAUCUUCCGCAAUGGACGAAAGUCUGACGGAGCAACGCCGCGUGAGUGAUGAAGGCUUUCGGGUCGUAAAACUCUGUUGUUAGGGAAGAACAAGUGCUAGUUGAAUAAGCUAGGCACCUUGACGGUACCUAACCAGAAAGCCACGGCUAACUACGUGCCAGCAGCCGCGGUAAUACGUAGGUGGCAAGCGUUAUCCGGAAAUUAUUGGGCGUGAAGCGCGC